This 462-nucleotide ribosomal RNA is filed under the name uncultured bacterium. RNAcentral's name for it is "partial 16S ribosomal RNA". It matches the Rfam family "Bacterial small subunit ribosomal RNA", at positions 338 to 795 of the family's 1533-position model. The record is from RNAcentral.
CCUACGGGUGGCAGCAGUGAGGAAUAUUGGUCAAUGGACGCAAGUCUGAACCAGCCAAGUAGCGUGCAGGAUGACGGCCCUCCGGGUUGUAAACUGCUUUUAGUUGGGAAUAAAAGGGGGCUCGUGAGCCCCGUAUUGUAUGUACCAUCAGCAAAAGGACCGGCUAAUUCCGGGCCAGCAGCCGCGGUAAUACGGAAGGUCCGGGCGUUAUCCGGAUUUAUUGGGUUUAAAGGGAGCGUAGGCGGUCUUUUAAGUCAGCUGUGAAAGUCCGCGGCUCAACCGGGGAAUUGCUGUUGAAACUGGAGGCCUUGAGUGCACACAGGGAUGCCGGAAUUCAUGGUGUAGCGGUGAAAUGCGUAGAGAUCAGGAAGAACUCCGAUGGCGAAGGCAAGUGUCCGGGGUGCAACUGACGCUGAGGCUCGAAAGUGCGGGUAGCAAACAGGAUUAGAUACCCGGGUAGUC